AUUACUGGUGAUAGCAAUAGUUACUUCACUUAAUUGCCCUUCUAGAUUCAUAAGUUCAUUUUGUUGCAAGGGACUAGUUGCUUGACCCUCAUUAACCAUGUUUGAAUCCUGAGCUACCUGCACUACAAGCACUGGUGGAUUAACAGAAACCUCUUGUUGAUUCUGAACUUCAUCAUUAAUUACAUUCUUCUUUACAAUCCAUUAUUUCUUUGUUUGUUUCCCCUGCUGUUUUACUCUAUCUUUCAGAUUCCUUGUAUCUACC
RNAcentral lists this long non-coding RNA (262 nucleotides) under Nicotiana benthamiana. RNAcentral's name for it is "long non-coding RNA (NBEN_LNC022854)". Lineage: Eukaryota; Viridiplantae; Streptophyta; Magnoliopsida; Solanales; Solanaceae. The record is from RNAcentral.